RNAcentral lists this ribosomal RNA (246 nucleotides) under uncultured Tintinnida. RNAcentral's name for it is "partial 28S ribosomal RNA". It matches the Rfam family "Eukaryotic large subunit ribosomal RNA", at positions 1 to 241 of the family's 3401-position model. Lineage: Eukaryota; Ciliophora; Spirotrichea; Tintinnida. The record is from RNAcentral.
AGCAUCUGAAGUGAAGUAGGACCACCCGCUGAACUUAAGCAUAUCAUUAAGCGGAGGAAAAGAAACUAACAAGGAUUCCCUCAGUACGGGCGACGGAAGCGGGAAAAGCCCACACUGGAAAUCUCCGGGCGUACGCUCGGCGAAUUGUAAUCUGGAGAGAGCUAGUCCACCUGGAGCCGGCGCUGAAGUGCGCUCGAGCGCGCCGCCAGAGAGGGUGAGAGCCCCGUGCGGCGCCGGCGACUACAC